Molecule: ribosomal RNA, 2078 nt
Filed under: Candidatus Uhrbacteria bacterium
Lineage: Bacteria; Candidatus Uhriibacteriota
Description: bacterial LSU rRNA
Rfam family: Bacterial large subunit ribosomal RNA
Source: RNAcentral
AUCAAGUGCAUAUGGUGGAUGCCUUGGCAGAAUGUGCCGAUGAAGGACGUCGCAGCCUGCGAUAAGCCUCGGGGAGGUGGCAAGCAACCUUUGAUCCGGGGAUUUCCGAAUGGAGCAAUCCCAUGCGGGGAAUGCCGCAUGAUCCCGUACUGAAUACAUAGGUCCGGGAAGGGCACCUGGGGAAGUGAAACAUCUCAGUACCCAGAGGAAAAGAAAAAGAUCGUUCGUUUUACGUUCGUGUGCACAACAUGUAGCACGCGAACGAAAAGCGAGCACAUUCCCUAAGUAGCGGCGAGCGAAAAGGGAAGAGCCUAAACCUUACAGAUGAAGCUAUGGUGUUUAUGUGGACUUCGGUUUGCAUAGCGCGGUAGUGAAAGAUGGAAGUCGUUGUCUGUAAGGGGUUGUAAGUUGAUCAUGUCGUCUGCUUCCAAAGACGGGUGAUGAUAAUUGUAUGACCUAUAACAGAAGUUGCUGGAAAGCAACGCCAUAGAGGGUGAUAGCCCCGUACGUGAAAUAGGUUUAUACCAUCACGAUGAUUUUCUUGAGUACCACGAGACUCGUGAAAUCUUGUGGGAAUCUGCCGCGACUAUGUGGCAAGGCUAAACACACAUUCUGACCGAUAGUGAACAAGUACCGUGAGGGAAAGGUGAAAAGCACCCCGGUGAGGGGAAUGAAAUAGUAUCUGAAACCGUAUGCUUACAAGGAGUCAGAGCCCUGCCUUCGGGUGGGGUGAUGGCGUUCCUAUUGAAGAAUGAGCCAACGAGUGUGCUNNNNNNNNGGAGCCGAAGUGAAAGCGAGCGUUAAUCCGCGUAUUGUGAUUUUGUUCGAUCUGUUUGAGCAAUCGAACUUUUCGAACAUGAUCACAUGGUGGCACGUACACGACCCGAAACCGGGUGACCUANNAUCGAACUCGGUAAUAGCUGGUUCUCCCCGAGAUAUGUUUUGGCAUAGCGUCAGUAAAUACAUGAGUGGGGGUAGAGCACUGGAUGGGACCGCCGCCUUCGGGUAGGGGUCCUAACCAAACUCCGAAUACCAUUCGUGGUUCCUGACAGUCAGACGAUGGGGGCUAAGCUCCAUUCGUCGAAAGGGAAACAGCCCAGAUCUCCAACUAAGGUCCCUAAAUCAUCAUUAAGUGUAAAAGGUAGUGAAGAGGCUUAUACAACCAGGAGGUUGGCUUAGAAGCAGCCAUCCUUUAAAGAUAGCGUAACAGCUCACUGGUCAAGCUUUUUUGCGCCGAAAAUGUACCGGGGCUAAAUGAUGUACCGAAGUUGAGGACACCUUCCAUCUCGGAAGUCUGUGGUAGGGGAGCAUUCACAUGGCGUUGAAGUCGUGUCGUGAGGCACGGUGGAGCAGUGUGAAGUGAGAAUGUUGGCAUAAGUAGCAAAAAGACAGGUGAAAGUCCUGUCCGCCGUAAACCUAAGGUUUCCUGGGCAACGCGAAUCGACCCAGGGUUAGUCGGGAGCUAAGGCGAGGCCGAAAGGCGUAGUCGAUGCACAGCAGGUUAAUAUUCCUGCACUUCGUUAUUCACUGAUGCGGGGACGCUUCUUGUCGUUUCCUGCGUUCUAUGGCUAUGACGCUGGGGGUGUUUCGGUGAUGGGUAGGCAAAUCCGCUCAUCAUAAGCCGAUGACAUCAUCGCGAGUCUGCCGUAAGGCGGACAAGAGGAAAUUAAAAGGAGCCAAGAAAAGCCGCUAAGGUUAAUGAAUAAUGAACCCGUACCGUAAACCGACUCAGGUGGGUGGGCAUAAAUGUGCUCAGGCGUACGAGAGAACCUUCGUUAAGUAACUCGGCAAAACAGUGGCCGUAACUUCGGGAUAAGGCCUGGUUGUCCUUGUGAGAGGGCGACCCACAGCAAACGACUCCAACCGACUGUUUACCAAAAACACAGGUCCCUGCUAAACCGUAAGGUGAUGUAUAGGGGCUGAUGCCUGGCCAGUGUCCGAACGUUAAGGAAGGGGGUCAUCCUGCCGCAAGGCAGGGGAAGCUUCCGACUGAAGCGCGGAUGAACGCCGGCGAUAACUAUAAUCGUCCUAAGGUAGCGAAAUUCCUUGUCGGGCGAGUUCCGACCUGCACGAAUGGC